Molecule: long non-coding RNA, 2236 nt
Organism: Oncorhynchus masou masou (cherry salmon)
Lineage: Eukaryota; Metazoa; Chordata; Actinopteri; Salmoniformes; Salmonidae
Exons: 2
Source: RefSeq, a predicted model, not a curated record
UAAUAACAGUGGAUAUUUUAAUGAUAUAUUGAUAUUAUAUAUAAUAGAUAAUAACAGUGGAUAUUUUAAUCAUAUAUUGAUAUUAUAUAUAAUAGAUGAUAACAUAGAUAUUUUAAUGAUAUAUUGAUAUUAUAUUUAAUAGAUUAAUAACAUUGGAUAUUUUAAUCAUAUAUUGAUAUUAUAUAUAAUAGAUAAUAACAUUGGAUAUUGUAAUGAUAUUUUGACCUCCGACCUGUAAAUGUCCCCGGUUUUAAUUUCAGAAAUCUGGUCACCUUAACUUAAAAUCCCAUGACUAAUGUACUGAUGUAGCUCCAUGGGAGGAGUGAAACCCGCAGGCUCACCGUGGAAUGAGUUGGACACAUGCUCGUGUAUGUUUACAUUUACUUUGUUUACAAACAUUGGAGUAGAACAAAAACAUCUAUUUUGGGAUCUGAUGGGGUACGGCAGUUGAACUAUAUUCAUGAGGCAUUUAUAAAUGAUAUUCUUCAAGCAUCCAUAAGUGGAUGUAUCAACUGCAGAUUGGCCAUUUAAAGGGGUCAUGUGACCUGGUCAUGUGACCGGGCAAAAGCAGUAACAGACGAGCACCCUUCUCAAAUCUGUACCCCAUGAUCACAUUGUCAACAAGGAAGAAACAUAAACCUUUAUUUUCCAUAAAAUGUUCAAACUAUUUUUCCUUAGGAAGGCAGACAAAGCACAUCUACAAAACAAAUGGAAUCCCUUUCCACCCAAUGCAAACUGCACCCACCCAAACGAACACCGUCAGUCUGGGACAGAUUCCUCGUCAUCAGAGCUGUAGUGGAUGCUGUCAUCUAGGUCCUCUUCCACGAGGUCAUCUAUGAAGUUAUCUUCUAGGGGGGAGGUGUCUUGGCCCAUAGCUUUGCUGUAUAUCAGUUUGACAGAGUCCUGGUGUCCUGCUGACUCUCCUCUGAAGCAUGGAGAAGAGACCUCUGCUCCCAGCUUCCGACUGAUUCAACUACCAGCCUGACACCAACAAUCGUAAUGUGUCGUAUAAAUACAAUGACGUAUUCCUUAAAUACAAUAUCAAUUACAGGGUGCCAACAUCAAUACAUAUUAAUGAACGUUCCCCUACUACUAAUACAAUGACGUAUUCCUUAAAUACAAUAUCAAUUACAGGGUGCCAACAUCAAUACAUAUUAAUGAACGUUCCCCUACUACUAAUACAAUGACGUAUUCCUUAAAUACAAUAUCAAUUACAGGGUGCCAACAUCAAUACAUAUUAAUGAACGUUCCCCUACUACUAAUACAAUGAAGUAUUCCUUAAAUACAAUAUCAAUUACAGGGUGCCAACAUCAAUACAUACUAAUGAACGUUCCCCUACUUUGCCUGCUUAGGUCAGGUGCCACAUGUGAAGCCAGGUCUUGCACAUUCUCCGAUCCCCUCUUUAGGCUUUCCCAGUGCUGCUGGACUUCCUUUAGGACAAUUACCUCUUCCUCCUUCAGCUGUCUCAGGAGCAUCACCCGGUCAAAGGCUAUCUUCUUUUUUCCCUGGCACCCAAAAGUACUUGUUUCAUUUCGAAUGCAAAGCCGGACAGGAAAAUGGUCCAUAUCACACACUUAUCAAGAGAACAUCCCUGGUCAUCCCUACUGCCUCUGAUCUGGAGGACUCACUAAACAGAGAACAUCCCUGGUCAUCCCUACUGCCUCUGAUCUGGAGGACUCACUAAACAGAGAACAUCCCUGAUCAUCCCUACUGCCUCUGAUCUGGAGGACUCACUAAACAGAGCACAUCCCUGGUCAUCCCUACUGCCUCUGAUCUGGAGGAAUCACUAAACAGAGAAAAUACCUGGUCAUCCCUACUUCCUCUGAUCUGGAGCACUCACUAAACAGAGAACAUCCCUGGUCAUCCCUACUGCCUCUGAUCUGGAGGACUCACUAAACAGAGAACAUCCCUGGUCAUCCCUACUGCCUCUGAUCUGGAGGACUCACUAAACAGAGAACAUCCCUGGUCAUCCCUACUGCCACAGAUCUGGAGGACUCACUAAACAGAGAACAUCCCUGGUCAUCCCUACAUCCUCUGAUCUGGAGGACUCACUAAACAGAGAACAUCUCUGGUAAUCCCUACUGCCUCUGAUCUGGAGGACUCACUAAACAGAGAACAUCUCUGGUCAUCCCUACUGCCUCUGAUCUAGCGGACUCACUAAACACAUGCUUUGUUUGUAAAUUAUGUCUGAGUGUUCCCAUGGCUAUUUCUUAAAUAAAAAAACUAACGAACCCCA